RNAcentral lists this long non-coding RNA (1919 nucleotides) under Olea europaea subsp. europaea. The record is from RNAcentral. Lineage: Eukaryota; Viridiplantae; Streptophyta; Magnoliopsida; Lamiales; Oleaceae.
UAUAAAAGUACUAGAAUCUCAAUUGCAUGAAAUAAAGGAUUCCAAAAGAUUACAUUAUUCGCCCUAAAAUCAAAUUUAACUACUCAUAAUAAUGGAAGAAAAAUAGAAAAUUGUCUUAGAAUACAUCACCGAAUUUGUAAUAAAUAUGUAGAAGAAAAAGUAGAAUUAUUGCACCAAGAUCUCCUUCCCCUUCCAAUGAAUGCUUCUAAUCUUCAAUUGCUUGGUGUUAAUCUUCUUGAAUUUCUCUUUUCAAUCUCCCUUCUUGUUAUCUUCUCUCCAAUAUAUCAAGAACGCGUGGCUUGAUCCCACAGAUUUUUAGUGUGUGGCUCCCCUCUAAUUUAGGUCUUCAAUUCUAUGUUUAUAAUGUCUUGGAGUUUAGGGAAAGAUUUGGAGAUGAGUUGGGUCGAAAAAGAAUGGUAAAAACCUAAAAAAACUACUCUCGCACGGCGGCGCUUGGGCACUGCAAUUUGGGCGCCUAGGCGCUGACUUUCUGUCAAAAUUUCAGCAUCAUGGCGCCUGGGCGCUGAGGGAUAGCGCUUAGGCGCUGAGGACUACUUCGGUUGCACUAGACAGUUUUCAAUAUUUUUGUCAUAACUUUUUCGUUCGAUAUCCGAUUGAAGUGAUUCAAGAUGCAUUGGAAAGAUAAUUCAAAGGAAUAUAAUUUUACUUCAGGAAUCAUUCUCCAAUUCGAUCGUUUUCUAUGUCAAAAUGAGUCAAAAUGUGAGACCAAAACUCCGGCGCAAAACUUUUUGGUUGGAAAAUGAUUUAUGAUCAUAUUUUGACUAAAUUUGAUCCCUUUAACACCUUCCUUCAUCCAAUUGUCUUCUAGAACUCUCGGAUCUUCAUUUCAAAUUUCGACACGACUUUUGAUUAAUUGCAUUUUAAUUCUCGAACUUUGGAUCUCUUACGUUUUGGUCAUUUCAUCCAAUUUCACUAGCUUUUGCCUAUUUCCUUCCUUUGACCUUUUUUAGCUCUUGUUUUCUCCACUUCCAUCAAUCUACAAAACAACACCAAAAUCACUUGUUAGCACUUCUAAAAUACUUUCUAAGAUAGCAAAAUCAUGAAAUUAAUGGCAUAAUAUAAUGAGUGUAAAUCACUCAUCACAUACCCUUGAUGAGAGUAUUGAUACCUAUCUCGUUUCAGUACGAACACGAUAUGUGUACCAUUUAUUCGCUUUAUGUUGCAUUGGUUUGUCAUAAGAGCAUGGACGUUGCUUUGUGUACAGAAAAUUUACACACAGAACAGAUAUUAAACAGAGACAACAGUACAGUGGGUGGAGUUUUUGCAUUAUUUUAUUCGUUGGAACCCUCCUCAAUGUGAGAUUUCUGUAGGUUUUAUGUGGAAACAUUUAUUUUCUGUACACAUGGAAAAAUUCUAAGAGCAUAGUGAUAUUUCUUAAAAAGGUCGUCUAGGUGACAAGUCAAUGUUGGUAAUGCAAUAGGAAGAUUAGUGUCAAAAUGCAAAAUAAAAAGAUCUUGUAGAAAGUAAAAGUGCAGAAAAUAUAGAUUGAACACGAGAUUUCUUUUGACCUAAGCCCGAAGGUUCGAGGACCAACUUUGAUGUCUACAUCCGAUGUUGAGCAUCGGAUAAAGUGAAUUUUGCUCGAUUGCACUAAGUAGUCCUGAAUGGCAACAAAGGUUACAAAAGUUUAAUCAAUACACGGAGAUAGCACAGAAUCACUUAUCUCUUCUGGUACAACUGAAGAUUUUCGAAGAAUCACCAAGAAAACUUCACAUAACUCUCUGAAAAUGACUACUCAAAUGAACACGCUCAUUCUAACAAAUAUCCACUCAGAAUACCACAUAUCAAAGGCUAACUAUUACAGACCUUGGUUCUCAAAUCUGAACUUUAAGAUAUGAAGAAUUGAAAGAUGAAACCCUAGCAUUAGAGAGAGUUUCUCUUAGAAAACCAAAAGGUCG